GAUGAACGCUGGCGGCGUGCUUAACACAUGCAAGUCGAACGGAAAGGCUCCUGCUUGCAGGGGUACUCGAGUGGCGAACGGGUGAGUAACACGUGGGUGAUCUGCCCUGCACUUCGGGAUAAGCCUGGGAAACUGGGUCUAAUACCGGAUAGGACCACAUUUUGGAUGGUGUGGUGGAAAGUUUUUCGGUGUGGGAUGCGCUCGCGGCCUAUCCGCUUGUUGGUGGGGUAAUGGCCUACCAAGGCGUCGACGGGUAGCCGGCCUGAGGGGGUGUAUGGCCACAUGGGGACUGAGAGACGGCCCAGACUCCUACGGGAGGCAGCAGUGGGGAAUAUUGCAGAAUGGGCGCAAGCCUGAUGCAGGGACGCCGCGUGGGGGAUGACGGCCUUCGGGUUGUAAACUACUUUCGCUAGGGACGAAGCGCAAGUGACGGUACCUGGAGAAGAAGCACCGGCUAACUACGUG
This 465-nucleotide ribosomal RNA is filed under the name uncultured bacterium. RNAcentral's name for it is "partial 16S ribosomal RNA". It matches the Rfam family "Bacterial small subunit ribosomal RNA", at positions 28 to 507 of the family's 1533-position model. The record is from RNAcentral.